This 2107-nucleotide ribosomal RNA is filed under the name Decapauropus infurcatus. Its description in RNAcentral is "SSU rRNA". It matches the Rfam family "Eukaryotic small subunit ribosomal RNA". The record is from RNAcentral. Lineage: Eukaryota; Metazoa; Arthropoda; Pauropoda; Tetramerocerata; Pauropodidae.
CCUUCCUCUCAGACAUGCCAUGCAAGUGUCAGUACAGGUCGCUUGACGGCCAAAACCGCGAACGGCUCAUUAAAACGGUCGUAAUUUACUAGAUCGUACGUAUCCCACGUGGAUAACUGUGGUAAUUCUAGAGCUAAUACAUGCAUGCGAGCUCCGAUCCUCGCCAGUCGGCAACGGCUGGCUCGGUUCACGCCGAGUAGAGGUACGAGCGCUUUUAUUAGAACAAGACCGACCGGCUGCGUGUCUUCGGGCGCGUAGCCGUGGCCGGCUUUCGGGCCGGUCUAAUCUAGUUGGUGACUCUGGAUAACUGUAGCCGAUCGCUAACGGCUUUACGCCGGCGACGGUUCUUCUAAGCGUCUGAUCUAUCAACUUUCGACGGUAGGUUAACAAGCCUACCGUGGUGAUAACGGGUAACGGAGAAUCAGGGUUCGAUUCCGGAGAGGGAGCCUGAGAAACGGCUACCACAUCCAAGGAAGGCAGCAGGCGCGCAAAUUACCCACUCCCGGCACGGGGAGGUAGUGACGAAAAAUAACGAUGCGGGACUCAUUUCCGAGGCCCCGUAAUCGGAAUGAGAACAAAAUAAACGAGUUAACGAGGAUCAAUUGGAGGGCAAGUCUGGUGCCAGCAGCCGCGGUAAUUCCAGCUCCAAUAGCGUAUAUUAAAGUUGUUGCGGUUAAAAAGCUCGUAGUCGGAUUUACAGCUUCGGCCGUGACGGUCCGUCGCUCCGUUCUGUCCGGCUUGUCGUCCGUUUCGGUCGAGCUUCGGCUUCGUACCGUACGGCUCGGCGGUCGGCGGCGGGCGCGGUUGCUUCGGCAAAAAAGCCGUCCGGUUUCCGAGGUGCAAAAUCGCGAACGAAAGUUCAGAUUUGCCGACGGUCGUUCGCUAUCGGUCUUCGGGCCGAGCGUGUUUCGCCGUCAUGCCCUUGAUUGGGUGUGGCGCGGGGCAAGAUCGUCGGCGCAUCACUUUGAAAAAWUUAGAGUGCUCAAAGCGGGCGAGGCGUUCAAUGCGCUGCAUAUCGCUCGAACAGGUCAGCAUGGAAUGACGGAACAGGACCGCGGUUCUAUUCUGUCCGGUCUAUAGGACUCGUGGUAAUGAUCGAUAGAGRCUGACGGGGGCAUUCGUACUGCGACGCUAGAGGUGAAAUUCUUGGACCGUCGCAAGACGAACAACUGCGAAAGCAUUUGCCAAGAAUGCUCUCGUUGAUCAAGAACGAAAGUUGGAGGUUCGAAGGCGAUCAGAUACCGCCCUAGUUCUAACCGUAAACGAUGCCAACUGACGAUUCGCUCGUGUUAAUUUAUUUAAAAAAAUGACCGAGUGAGCAGUCUCCGGGAAACCAAAGUUUUCAGGUUCCGGGGGAAGUAUGGUUGCAAAGCUGAAACUUAAAGGAAUUGACGGAAGGGCACCACCAGGAGUGGAGSCUGCGGCUUAAUUUGACUCAACACGGGAAAACUCACCCGGCCCGGACACUGUAAAGAUUGACGUAUUAAGAGCUACUUCUCGAUUCAGUGGGUGGUGGUGCAUGGCCGUUCUUAGUUGGUGGAGUGAUUUGUCUGGUUGAUUCCGAUAACGAACGAGACUCUAGCCUGCUAAAUAGGCGUCCGAUUAACGGCCCACGUUCGGUCCCCGGUUGGCGUUCGCGCGUCGAUCGGUGCGUCUCGGGCGUGGGCAUCGUCGGGCGAAGCCGCUUCACGGCGGCGAGACUUCUUAGAGGGACUGGCGGCGUCUAGCCGCACGAAAUUGAGCGAUAACAGGUCUGUGAUGCCCUUAGAUGUCCGGGGCCGCACGCGCGCUACACUGAACGAGUCAACGUGCGUUCGCUUCCCUGUCCGAAAGGACCGGGCAACCCGUUGAAUCUCGUUCGUGAUAGGGAUCGGGGCUUGUAAUUAUUCCCCGUGAACGAGGAAUUCCCAGUAGGUGCGAGUCAUUAACUCGCGCCGACUACGUCCCUGCCCUUUGUACACACCGCCCGUCGCUACUACCGAUCGAAUGGUUUAGCGAGGUCUUCGGACUGAUCGCGCUCUGGCUCGGUUCGCUGUGCCGGUACGUGGUCUGGAAAGAUGACCAAACUAGACUAUUAGAGGUAGAAAGUGAGCAGCGGAGCCCCCCG